RNAcentral lists this ribosomal RNA (594 nucleotides) under Apiotrichum loubieri. RNAcentral's name for it is "eukaryotic LSU rRNA". It matches the Rfam family "Eukaryotic large subunit ribosomal RNA", at positions 62 to 648 of the family's 3401-position model. Lineage: Eukaryota; Fungi; Basidiomycota; Tremellomycetes; Trichosporonales; Trichosporonaceae. The record is from RNAcentral.
AAACUAACAAGGAUUCCCUUAGUAACGGCGAGUGAACCGGGAAGAGCUCAAAUUUGAAAUCUGGCUGUCUUCGAUAGUCCGAGUUGUAAUCUAUAGAAGCGUUUUCCGUGCUGAACUGUGUCUAAGUCCCUUGGAACAGGGUAUCAAAGAGGGUGACAAUCCCGUACUUGACACAAUCAUCAGUGCUCUGUGAUACGCUCUCUACGAGUCGAGUUGUUUGGGAAUGCAGCUCAAAAUGGGUGGUAAAUUCCAUCUAAAGCUAAAUAUUGGCGAGAGACCGAUAGCGAACAAGUACCGUGAGGGAAAGAUGAAAAGCACUUUGGAAAGAGAGUUAAACAGUACGUGAAAUUGUUGAAAGGGAAACGAUUGAAGUCAGUCGUGUUCAUUGGAUUCAGCCGGUCUUCGGUGUACUUCCUUUGAACGGGUCAACAUCAGUUUUGCCCGGUGGAUAAAGGCAGUAGGAAUGUGGCCUCUCCGGAGGUGUUAUAGCCUAUUGUCACAUACACUGGGGGAGACUGAGGACUGCAGCUCGCCUUUUGGCCGGGGUUCGCCCACGUUCGAGCUUAGGAUGUUGACAUAAUGGCUUUAAACGAC